CCUACGGGUGGCAGCAGUGAGGAAUAUUGGUCAAUGGACGAGAGUCUGAACCAGCCAAGUAGCGUGAAGGAUGACUGCCCUAUGGGUUGUAAACUUCUUUUAUAUGGGAAUAAAACAGGGUAUGCAUACCCUAUUGUCUGUAUCAUUUGAAUAAGGCUCGGCUAACACCGUGCCAGCAGCAGCGGUAAUCCGGAGGAUCCGAGCGUUAUCCGGAUUUAUUGGGUGUAACGGGAGCGUAGGUGGAAUGUUAAGUCAGUUGUGAAAGGUUGGGGCUCAACCGUAAAAUUGCAGUUGAAACUGGCAGUCUUGAGUGCAGUAGAGGUGGGCGGAAUUCGUAGUGUAGCGGUGAAAUGCUUAGAUAUCACGAAGAACUCCGAUUGCGAAGGCAGCUCACUGGACUGCAACUGACACUGAUGCUCGAAAGUGUGGGUAUCAAACAGGAUUAGAUACCCCUGUAGUC
Molecule: ribosomal RNA, 460 nt
Filed under: uncultured bacterium
Lineage: Bacteria
Description: partial 16S ribosomal RNA
Rfam family: Bacterial small subunit ribosomal RNA
Source: RNAcentral